GCCCUGUAUUUUCAUGUAUAUAAUUUAUGUAUAGCAGUGUAUACAACAUGUAUACAGCUCUUUUUUGGAGCUUUUGGAGGCUUGGUCAUCAAUUUCCAGCAUGUAUAUUGCCUCCAUUUCACUCGAUCAAGAUGGUGCUGACUCGAAGAAUUUCAACUCGGAAAAAUGCAAAAAAAGGGAGUCCAAAAGGACUCAGGUUGAUGCACAUACAAAGAAAAUGGAAGCAACAUUAGCCAAGUCGCAUGAGAAUAUUCUAGCAACGUUUCAAAGAGUAAACUAUACCAGAAAGCAUUUUACUAAAUGUUUUCAGACAUAUCUUAACAAGAGUUUCUUAACACAAGGACAUGUAAAGGACACGUAUUUCAUUAAUUCAAACAAUUAUGCUAUAAUCAAAUAAUAAAUUGUGAAGUAGCAACAUUCACCAAACUAAUCAGUAAAACAUAAUUGGAAUCACAACAAGAGGAAAUUAAAUCUAAAAAAAAAGAGAAGCAAAUGGAUCAAAUUGUUACCAAUAUUUACACGGGAACACUUAAGGGAAAAAAAAACCCACUACAUGAAGCAUAUGUUUAAAGGAGAGAAAUCACAAUAAAUAUAAAGCUAAUUAGAAUCAAGCCAUUCUGCAAUUUUAACAAAUAGACACUAAUUACUAUGUCAAUUAUUUAAAGCCAACCUUCUGUAACUUAAAGCAACAAUGAGAUAUUAAAGCAUUAUUUAACAUGAUAAGGGAACGAAAAGAAAACACUAAUUUAAACCAAUAUUUGUAUCCUAUAAGGCAGUGAAUGUCUCAUAACAAGAAAAAUAAUAAACACAGAAAAGAGAGGUAACAAACUUGAAUUAGCCAAUUUAUUAAUCCAUUUCAUACUUAGAGCUUCACUAAUCUGGACAAAACUUCAAAAUUUUAACAAAAUCAACACAAGCUUGGGUCCAUAAUGUCAACGAUAUAGUGAGGAACAUGAUAAAGGCAUUUGAGACAUGAUGAAAUAGUGAUGUUAGAGAUCAAAUUCGAUACUUCAGAUGCGCAAAUGAGAAACUAAACCACAAUGAAAUCCAUAAUGGACUAAAUGUCGAGAAGCCACUAAACAAUAAGAAAUGAAAUCAACAGAGAACAUUAAAACAGAAGCAAACCAGAACUGAACUCAAAUCUACGAACUAAACAACAUCUUGGCUAAGAUAGAUUAAGAUGUUAAACGAAGUUUACCUUCUUAGGAGCAGCGAAUCUGAGACAGGACGAGCAGGGCAGCAACAAACUUCUUCCAACACCACAAAAUUUGAAUUUCGAGCAGCUAACUACGGAGUGCAAACCGGACUCGAGCAAAGAUUUGCUCACAACUUAGGAUUAGAGAAAAACGUAUGAUAUUUCUUAAGUAUAAGAAUGAUUGUUCUCUAACAAAUUUUCGAAAACCCAAAAUCUCUCUUUUUAACCAAAAAAAAAUCCCCCUCCCCAACCAAGAACAAGAAGAGGGCAUUUAUAGAAAGGGAAUUGGGGGGGAAAGGGUGGAUUUUCGAAUUUGAAAAUCAAAUUCCUCUGCCCCUUUCCGAGAUAACCGUAAAAAGCUUUUGAAAAUCCCUUAAAAUGGGGAAAAUGGGACAUGAGGAUGAUGGGUCUGCAGGGUAUGAGUUUUGCAGAGUAGUUGGACAGGAUUUCCGCGUGAGGAAGACGGUAUGGGCAGUGGGGUCGUGGCUUUUCUCCGGAUUUGCCGGAUUGAUGAGACUGUCGGAGAAGACGGGGGAGUGGGGUCGUUUUGGACUUCUGCUCACGUUUGCUGAAGCUGCGAGGAAGAAGACGCGUAGGGGUCUGGGUUGUGUAUACGUACUGGUAUUGUACACUGCUGGGUAUUGUUGAUGUGUGGGUCUGCUUGAUGUAUUGUUGCUGUAAACAGGAAUGGGCUGGGUUAUGUAUUGGAAAGGGUUUUGGGCUUGGUAUUAAAAGAAUUAAGCUCAUAUUUGGGUCUGGAAAUAGGAGGAAUUGGGCCGUGGGAACAGGCCCAUUUUGGUCUUUAAAGGAUUAAGAAUAGGAUAAGAAAUUGACUAAAAAUUGCAACAAGACAAAUUUUCAUAAAUUAAUUAACGAGCUUCUUAAUCUCAACGAAAUAAAAAAUAAUUAACUCAAUUAUAAACUAAUUAACUCAAUUACAAAACCAAUUAACUCGAAAUCAUAACUAUAAUUUAAAGUAAAUUAAUAAAAUAUUUAACUAAAAUGCAAAAUCUUUUGUGACGAUUUUCGAAUAUUUAUAAAAUGACGUGAUUGCAAAAUAUACAUAUUUAUUAUUAAAAGAUGAUAAAAUUACUUUAAAAUAACUUGAAAGUAUUUUGAAUUUCAUAAAACUCAUUAAUUCAAAAUUAUAACCAUCCCUAAUAUUUAAAAUAUAAUUAUUAUAUUUUGACGAUUUUCGAAUAAUCAUAAAAUAUACUAAUCAUAUACAUAAUUAUGUAAAACAUAUACAUCAUUUAAAAUUUAUGAAAAGUGACAAACUAUUUAAAAAUCUUGCAAACUAUAUUAUUAUUAUCUAUUUAUUUUUAUUAUUAUUAUUUAUUUAUUUUAGAAAUUUUAUAAAACUAAUAAUUUUAGAUCGUUUGAAAUUGGUGAAGCUCGAAAUGAUUAAUUUAUAUUGUGGAGGGUCAAAAAUUGGGUGUCAACAGGUAAUAUCUCAUAUGAUCACUCAACUUUGAAUACUUAACUUUGAAAGUCACUCAGCUUUGUUUUAUAACUCAAAAGUCACUCAACUAUUGAUAUUUCACUUAGAAAGUCACUCAACAAUUAAUAUUUCAUUUAUAUAGUCACCCAAUCGACUUAAAUGUUUU
Molecule: long non-coding RNA, 2802 nt
Filed under: Solanum tuberosum (potato)
Lineage: Eukaryota; Viridiplantae; Streptophyta; Magnoliopsida; Solanales; Solanaceae
Description: long non-coding RNA (STUB_LNC000370)
Source: RNAcentral